CCUACGGGUGGCAGCAGUAGGGAAUCUUCGGCAAUGGACGAAAGUCUGACCGAGCAACGCCGCGUGAGUGAAGAAGGUUUUCGGAUCGUAAAGCUCUGUUGUAAGAGAAGAACGAGUGUGAGAGUGGAAAGUUCACACUGUGACGGUAUCUUACCAGAAAGGGACGGCUAACUACGUGCCAGCAGCCGCGGUAAUACGUAGGUCCCGAGCGUUGUCCGGAUUUAUUGGGCGUAAAGCGAGCGCAGGCGGUUUGAUAAGUCUGAAGUUAAAGGCAUUGGCUCAACCAAUGUAUGCUUUGGAAACUGUUAGACUUGAGUGCAGAAGGGGAGAGUGGAAUUCCAUGUGUAGCGGUGAAAUGCGUAGAUAUAUGGAGGAACACCGGUGGCGAAAGCGGCUCUCUGGCUUGUAACUGACGCUGAGGCUCGAAAGCGUGGGGAGCAAACAGGAUUAGAUACCCGGGUAGUC
Molecule: ribosomal RNA, 465 nt
Filed under: uncultured Streptococcus sp.
Lineage: Bacteria; Bacillati; Bacillota; Bacilli; Lactobacillales; Streptococcaceae
Description: bacterial SSU rRNA
Rfam family: Bacterial small subunit ribosomal RNA
Source: RNAcentral